UAUGGAGGGACCAUAUGAAGGUAACCUAAAACAAUUUUUUUUAUAUUUCAUUUGUUGUUUUCGCACUUGAUGUCGAUUGUAAAAAGGCAUCUUUUUGUGUUGGAUUCAUGUGAUCGUUGUCUGUUUUCUAAUUAUGGGCUACAAGUAUAAUAAUAUUUUUUUUCUUUUUAGGCCGCAUGGAUUCCUGAUUUUUGAACUUUAUUCAUAGUUUGUGGUGUAAGUUUUCCAACUCGUUGUCUGACUUAAUAACCUUUUUAACAUAGAUUACACUGUAGUCCCGGAAUUCAAUGAUUCAGGGAGUAAUGGAAACGCUACAGUUGGGACUGAAAAUUCCUCAAGCAAGGACCUAGACUUCACAAAUUCUAGAAAGAGUAGGACUUCGGAGGGUAUGAUAAUCUGUAUGAAUGCAGCAUGACGGAUGGGAUUGAGGUUGGUUCAAACGUGGGUGAAUCGAAUGAUGUGAAUGAGCAUGACGUUGAAGUUGACGCUAAGAUUGCUGAUUUGGAGUACUCUUCCUCUGAAGAGCCUAUGUCUGAUUGUCCAUCCGAUGACGAUGUUGGGUAUCAAUUUCCACAAUUCUGGGCCGAGGUUGACAUGAGUAAUCAACAAUUUGUUGCUAAUUAGCUCUUUACGGAUAUUGUAGAGUUUCGAAAGGCAAUAAGAACUUAUGAAGCUUUGAAUGGGUAUAAUGUCAUACUUAAGGCGAACGACGAGAGACGAGUAUAUGGAGUGCAAACUAUGUUGUAAUUGGAGGACAUGGACAUCCAGCGUAGGUCUAACAUAAAGUCUGCAAGUUAAGUCAUAUACUUUGAUUCACACAUGCAGCCGAGACCAAUAUAGCAAACAUUGGAAUUUUGUCUUUCUGACUGACCGUUAUAUUGAGCAGUUUAAGACAGACCCAAAUGGAAGACUAAGAGUAUACUUGCAAUAGUGAAUGAUGAUAUGAAAACUAAUAUUACCUGGAAUGUUGGCAUGGAAAAUGAGAAAAUAUACAAAGAAAUUAUUACACGAGACAAUUGAUGAGGUGUUUUGUAUGUUGUGGUGUUAUGCUACGGAAGUUUUAAGGAUUAUUCCGGGUUUGACCUUUAUCAUUGCCAACCACAAUCAAGUUUUGCAAGGCAUCUAUGUUUAUUUUGAAGCAUGCAAGAAAGGUUUUGUCAAUGGUUGUAGAAAGGUUAUUGGAGUUGAUGGUUACCAUUUGCUUGGAUGUUUUAGUGGAAUAAUGCUAAAAGUUGUUGGUCAUGAUGCGAAUAAUCCAUAUGAAGAACACAGUUUCAGAUAUUAAAUGUCAUUUUUUAAGGUUUGUAAUAAUUAUUAAUUGUGACUAGGAUUAAUCGGUGAUGUGGCACGCCAUUUGUCGCCAUGCGAGAUUACCAUCCUCUACGCCAACGAGAAAAUUAAUAGGUUUUGGGGAGUGGGAGAUGGAGUGCAACCGAGACAAGUUCAAUGAGCAUUUUAUAGUUCAGCCAACAGUCCAUGACCAAGGUAUAAGUUCACUAAUUUUUGAAACGUUUCACUCUUAUUUCUACUUCAAAAUUUAAAAAAUUUCUGUUCAAAUUAAAUGAAGGCUAAAUAUAUUCACGCC
This 1585-nucleotide long non-coding RNA is filed under the name Olea europaea subsp. europaea. Lineage: Eukaryota; Viridiplantae; Streptophyta; Magnoliopsida; Lamiales; Oleaceae. The record is from RNAcentral.